Molecule: ribosomal RNA, 253 nt
Filed under: uncultured prokaryote
Description: partial 16S ribosomal RNA
Rfam family: Bacterial small subunit ribosomal RNA
Source: RNAcentral
ACGUAGGGUGCGAGCGUUAAUCGGAAUUACUGGGCGUAAAGCGUGCGCAGGCGGUUUUGUAAGACAGGUGUGAAAUCCCCGGACUUAACCUGGGAACUGCAUCCGAUACUGGAUGGCUUGAAUUCGGGAGAGGGAUGCAGAAUUCCAGGUGUAGCGGUGAAAUGCGUAGAUAUCUGGAGGAAUACCGGUGGCGAAGGCGGCAUCCUGGACCGACAUUGACGCUGAACGGCGAAAGCUAGGGGAGCAAACGGGA